GUUUAAAGGGUGCGCAGGCGGAUUGGUAAGUCAGGGGUGAAAUCCCACAGCUCAACUGUGGAACUGCCCUUGAUACUGUCAGUCUAGAGUAUAGUUGAAGUUGGCGGAAUGUGUCAUGUAGCGGUGAAAUGCUUAGAUAUGACACAGAACACCGAUCGCGAAGGCAGCUAGCUAAGCUAUAACUGACGCUCAUGCACGAAAGCGUGGGGAUCAAACAGGAUUAGAUACCCUGGUAGUCCACGCUGUAAACGAUGAUUACUCGAUGUUGGCGAUACACAGUCAGCGUCUAAGGGAAACCAAUAAGUAAUCCACCUGGGGAGUACGAUCGCAAGAUUGAAACUCAAAGGAAUUGACGGGGGCCCGCACAAGCGGAGGAGCAUGUGGUUUAAUUCGAUGAUACGCGAGGAACCUUACCUGGGCUAGAACGUAGAAUGACUAUAGGAGAAAUCUUAUAUCCCUUCGGGGCAGUCUACGAGGUGCUGCAUGGUUGUCGUCAGCUCGUGCCGUGAGGUGUCGGGUUAAGUCCCAUAACGAGCGCAACCCCUACCUUUAGUUGCCAUCAGGUCAAGCUGGGGACUCUAAAGGAACUGCCUACGCAAGUAGUGAGGAAGGCGGGGAUGACGUCAAAUCAGCACGGCCCUUACGUCCAGGGCUACACACGUGCUACAAUGGCCGAUACAGAGGGCAGCUACCUGGUGACAGGAUGCAAAUCUCCAAAGUCGGUCUCAGUUCUGAUCGGAGUCUGCAACCCGACUCCGUGAAGUUGGAUUCGCUAGUAAUCGCGCAUCA
RNAcentral lists this ribosomal RNA (789 nucleotides) under uncultured Bacteroidota bacterium. RNAcentral describes it as "bacterial SSU rRNA". It matches the Rfam family "Bacterial small subunit ribosomal RNA", at positions 558 to 1351 of the family's 1533-position model. Lineage: Bacteria; Pseudomonadati; Bacteroidota. The record is from RNAcentral.